Molecule: ribosomal RNA, 253 nt
Filed under: uncultured bacterium
Lineage: Bacteria
Description: partial 16S ribosomal RNA
Rfam family: Bacterial small subunit ribosomal RNA
Source: RNAcentral
UACGUAGGGCGCAAGCGUUAUCCGGAAUUAUUGGGCGUAAAGAGCUCGUAGGCGGUUUGUCGCGUCUGCCGUGAAAGUCCGGGGCUCAACUCCGGAUCUGCGGUGGGUACGGGCAGACUAGAGUGUGGUAGGGGAGACUGGAAUUCCUGGUGUAGCGGUGAAAUGCGCAGAUAUCAGGAGGAACACCGAUGGCGAAGGCAGGUCUCUGGGCCACUACUGACGCUGAGAAGCGAAAGCAUGGGGAGCGAACAGG